RNAcentral lists this ribosomal RNA (685 nucleotides) under uncultured bacterium. Its description in RNAcentral is "bacterial SSU rRNA". It matches the Rfam family "Bacterial small subunit ribosomal RNA", at positions 56 to 756 of the family's 1533-position model. The record is from RNAcentral.
UGCAGUCGACGGAAGGCUCCAGCUUGCUGGAGUACUCGAGUGGCGAACGGGUGAGUAACACGUGGGUAAUCUGCCCUGCACUCUGGGAUAAGCCUGGGAAACUGGGUCUAAUACUGGAUAUGACCUUUCUCCUUAUGGGGUUUGGUGGAAAGUUUUUCGGUGUAGGAUGAGCCCGCGGCCUAUCAGCUUGUUGGUGGGGUGAUGGCCUACCAAGGCGACGACGGGUAGCCGGCCUGAGAGGGUGAUCGGCCACAUUGGGACUGAGAUACGGCCCAGACUCCUACGGGAGGCAGCAGUGGGGAAUAUUGCACAAUGGGCGGAAGCCUGAUGCAGCGACGCCGCGUGAGGGAUGACGGCCUUCGGGUUGUAAACCUCUUUCAGCAGGGACGAAGCGUAAGUGACGGUACCUGCAGAAGAAGCACCGGCUAACUAUGUGCCAGCAGCCGCGGUAAUACGUAGGGUGCGAGCGUUGUCCGGAAUUACUGGGCGUAAAGAGCUCGUAGGCGGUUUGUCACGUCGUCUGUGAAAUCCUAGGGCUUAACCCUGGACGUGCAGGCGAUACGGGCUGACUUGAGUACUACAGGGGAGACUGGAAUUUCUGGUGUAGCGGUGGAAUGCACAGAUAUCACGAAGAACACCGAUGGCGAAGGCAGGUCUCUGGGUAGUAACUGACGCUGAGGAGCGA